Molecule: small nucleolar RNA, 238 nt
Organism: Varanus komodoensis (Komodo dragon)
Lineage: Eukaryota; Metazoa; Chordata; Lepidosauria; Squamata; Varanidae
Product: small nucleolar RNA, H/ACA box 53
Source: Ensembl
AACAUGCUCCCUUAGAUCCAUCUUUGUUUGAUAGCUCUUACACUGAGUUCUACUUAAAGCUUUGGCUACUUAGUAGUUCCAGUUAAGAGAAAUCAGCAACUUUAUGGUUGUACAGUCAAAGAUGCUUGAGUCAUUGGCAUGUGAGAAUAAUAUACCUUCACUCUAGUCUGUUACGUUCUGAUAGAAAUGGCUGUACUGUCAUUUUCUACUAUCAGGAUUUGACUGGAAUGUGGACAUC